AGGUAAUGAUGAUGAUGAUGAUGAUGAUGAUGAUGAUGAUUAUGGAAAAUAUUUUAUUCUAAGUCAUCGUUGACAUCAUCAUCAUCAUCAUCACCA
RNAcentral lists this microRNA precursor (96 nucleotides) under Bigelowiella natans CCMP2755. RNAcentral's name for it is "miRNA EPrBNAG00000013692". It matches the Rfam family "mir-598 microRNA precursor family". The record is from RNAcentral. Lineage: Eukaryota; Cercozoa; Chlorarachniophyceae.